RNAcentral lists this ribosomal RNA (465 nucleotides) under uncultured bacterium. RNAcentral describes it as "partial 16S ribosomal RNA". It matches the Rfam family "Bacterial small subunit ribosomal RNA", at positions 29 to 506 of the family's 1533-position model. The record is from RNAcentral.
ACGAACGCUGGUGGCGUGCUUAACACAUGCCCGUCGAACGGAAAGGCCCUGCUUUUGUGGGGUGCUCGAGUGGCGAACGGGUGAGUAACACGUGAGAACCUGCCCUUGACUUUGGGAUAACUUCAGGAAACUGGGGCUAAUACCGGAUAGGAGCUCCUGCUGCAUGGUGGGGGUUGGAAAGUUUCGGCGGUUGGGGAUGGACUCGCGGCUUAUCAGCUUGUUGGUGGGGUAGUGGCUUACCAAGGCUUUGACGGGUAGCCGGCCUGAGAGGGUGACCGGCCACAUUGGGACUGAGAUACGGCCCAGACUCCUACGGGAGGCAGCAGUGGGGAAUAUUGCACAAUGGGCGGAAGCCUGAUGCAGCAACGCCGCGUGCGGGAUGACGGCCUUCGGGUUGUAAACCGCUUUCGCCUGUGACGAAGCGUGAGUGACGGUAAUGGGGAAAGAAGCACCGGCUAACUACGU